Molecule: ribosomal RNA, 253 nt
Filed under: uncultured bacterium
Lineage: Bacteria
Description: partial 16S ribosomal RNA
Rfam family: Bacterial small subunit ribosomal RNA
Source: RNAcentral
UACGGAGGGUGCAAGCGUUAAUCGGAAUUACUGGGCGUAAAGCGCACGCAGGUGGCUGAGUCAGUCGAUUGUGAAAGCCCUGGGCUUAACCUGGGAAUUGCAGUCGAUACUACUCGGCUCGAGUAUGGGAGAGGGCAGUGGAAUUCCCGGUGUAGCGGUGAAAUGCGUAGAUAUCGGGAGGAACAUCAGUGGCGAAGGCGGGAUCCUGGGCCAGUACUGACGCUGAGGAGCGAAAGCGUGGGGAGCAAACAGG